GGACGCGUGGCUCAGUGGUAGAGCGUUCCGUUCACAUCGGAAAGGUCAGAGGUCCAAUUCCUCUCGCGUCCA
RNAcentral lists this transfer RNA (72 nucleotides) under bacterium. RNAcentral describes it as "tRNA-Val". It matches the Rfam family "tRNA". From Rfam's summary of the family: Transfer RNA (tRNA) molecules are approximately 80 nucleotides in length. Their secondary structure includes four short double-helical elements and three loops (D, anti-codon, and T loops). The record is from RNAcentral.